This 498-nucleotide ribosomal RNA is filed under the name uncultured bacterium. RNAcentral's name for it is "partial 16S ribosomal RNA". It matches the Rfam family "Bacterial small subunit ribosomal RNA", at positions 899 to 1397 of the family's 1533-position model. The record is from RNAcentral.
ACUCAAAUGAAUUGACGGGGGCCCGCACAAGCGGUGGAGCAUGUGGUUUAAUUCGACGCAACGCGAAGAACCUUACCUGGGCUCGAAAUGUAGUGGAAUCCGGUGGAAACAUCGGCGCCCAGCAAUGGGCCGCUAUAUAGGUGCUGCAUGGCUGUCGUCAGCUCGUGUCGUGAGAUGUUGGGUUAAGUCCCGCAACGAGCGCAACCCUUGUUACCAGUUGCUACCAUUUAGUUGAGCACUCUGGUGAGACCGCCUCGGAUAACGGGGAGGAAGGCGGGGAUGACGUCAAGUCCUCAUGGCCUUUAUGUCCAGGGCUACACACGUGCUACAAUGGCCGGUACAAACCGUCGCAAACCCGUGAGGGGGAGCUAAUCGGAAAAAGCCGGCCUCAGUUCGGAUUGGAGUCUGCAACUCGACUCCAUGAAGCUGGAAUCGCUAGUAAUCGCGGAUCAGAAUGCCGCGGUGAAUACGUUCCCGGGCCUUGUACACACCGCCCGU